UCCGGCUUAUCACCGGCGGUCCCCUUAGAGUGCCCAACUAAAUGAUGGCAACUAAGGGCAAGGGUUGCGCUCGUUGCGGGACUUAACCCAACAUCUCACGACACGAGCUGACGACAGCCAUACAGCACCUGUCUCCAGGUUCCCGAAGGCACUCCCGCAUCUCUGCAGGAUUCCUGGGAUGUCAAGACCAGGUAAGGUUCUUCGCGUAUCAUCGAAUUAAACCACAUGCUCCGCUGCUUGUGCGGGUCCCCGUCAAUUCCUUUGAGUUUUAGCCUUGCGGCCGUACUCCCCAGGCGGGGCACUUAAUGCGUUAGCUUCGGCACGGAGGGAGUCGACACCCCCCACACCUAGUGCCCAUCGUUUACAGCGUGGACUAC
This 377-nucleotide unclassified non-coding RNA is filed under the name uncultured bacterium. RNAcentral's name for it is "contains 16S-23S intergenic spacer region". The record is from RNAcentral.